Molecule: ribosomal RNA, 2004 nt
Filed under: Triticum aestivum (bread wheat)
Lineage: Eukaryota; Viridiplantae; Streptophyta; Magnoliopsida; Poales; Poaceae
Description: partial small subunit ribosomal RNA
Source: RNAcentral
AUGGCGACUCUCUCCGCCCCCUUGCUCCGUUCCCACCACCGUCACCUCCCCGUCCGCUCCUCGCCGCGCCGCUGCCCUUCCGCCGCCUUCCCGCGCGGGUUCGCUCCCCUCGAACCCCUCUCCUCCCGCGGGCCCUCACGCACCGCCGUCCGCUCCGCCUCGACCUCGGCAGCGGCACCGGAGGCCGCCGAGGCAACGGGAGGCGCGGCCCCGAGCGAAACGGCAGCGGAGGAGGAGGUGGUGGAGGCGCGCGUCGUGCUCCCCACCAACGAGUCCUCCGAGAACCUGCUGCGCAUCCGCCACACCUGUGCCCAUGUCAUGGCGAUGGCCGUCCAGAAGCUGUUCCCCAACUCCAAAGUGACCAUAGGCCCCUGGAUAGACAAUGGCUUCUACUACGACUUCGACAUGGAGCCCCUCACGGAUAAGGACCUCAAGAAGAUCAAGAAGGAGAUGGACCGAAUCAUUCGCCGGAACCUUCCAUUGGUGAGGGAGGAGGUGUCCAGGGAAGAGGCUCAAAAGAGGAUCCAAGCGCUUAACGAGCCAUAUAAGCUGGAGAUUUUGGAGAGAAUUAAGGAAGAACCCAUCACAAUUUAUCACAUUGGAGAAGAGUGGUGGGAUCUGUGUGCUGGCCCUCAUGUUGAGUCCACUGGCAAGAUACAGAGAAAGGCUGUUGAGCUCGAGUCUGUUGCUGGUGCUUACUGGAGAGGUGAUGAGAAUAAUCAAAUGCUACAAAGGAUAUAUGGGACUGCAUGGGAGAGUGAAGAUCAAUUGAAGGCUUACAUCCACUUCAAGGAGGAGGCCAAGCGCAGAGACCAUCGGCGACUAGGUCAGGACCUUGAUCUGUUCUCUAUACAGGAAGAUGCUGGUGGGGGUUUAGUAUUCUGGCAUCCAAAAGGUGCUAUCAUCAGACACAUUUUAGAAGAUUCGUGGAAACAAACUCACCUGCAACGUGGUUAUGAUCUAUUGUACACUCCACAUGUUGCGAAGGCUGAUCUCUGGAAGAUCAGUGGACAUAUAGAUUUCUACAAAGAGAAUAUGUACAACCAAAUGGAUGUAGAAGAUGAGCCAUAUCAACUUCGGCCCAUGAAUUGCCCUUACCACAUCUUGGUAUACAAGAGAAAGCUACAAUCAUACAGGGAUUUACCCAUCAGAGUGGCAGAGCUUGGAACUGUCUACAGAUACGAGCUCUCUGGUGCUCUGCACGGGCUGUUCCGCGUAAGAGGGUUCACACAGGAUGAUGCCCACAUAUUUUGUCUCGAAGACCAGAUAAAAGAUGAAAUUAGAGGAGUUCUUGAUUUAACUGAAGAAAUACUGGGGCAGUUUGGCUUCCGGAAUUUUGAGGUAAACCUUUCAACCAGGCCAGAAAAAUCUGUUGGCAGUGAGGACAUAUGGGAAAAGGCAACAAUUGCUCUGAAAGACGCACUAGAUGAUAAAGGAUGGGGAUACACGGUUGAUGAAGGGGGAGGUGCUUUCUAUGGUCCAAAAAUUGAUUUGAAAAUUGAGGACGCUCUUGGAAGAAAAUGGCAAUGUUCCACCGUGCAGGUUGACUUCAAUUUGCCUGAACGGUUUGACAUCACUUAUAUUGACUCGCAUACUGAGAAGAAACGGCCUAUCAUGAUUCAUAGAGCCAUCCUUGGGUCUUUGGAGCGAUUUUUUGGCAUCCUCAUUGAAAACUACGCUGGUGAUUUUCCACUUUGGCUUGCUCCAACCCAAGCCCGUAUUCUGCCUGUCACAAACAAUGAGUUGCAGUACUGUAAUGAGGUGGCUUCAGAGCUGAAAUCGAGAGGUAUCCGCGCCGAGGUAUGCCACGGCGAACGUCUGCCGAAGUUAAUCAGAAACGCCGAAACACAAAAGGUGCCGCUCAUGGCGGUCGUUGGCCCCAAAGAAGUCGAGGCCAGGACGCUCACCAUCAGGUCCCGGCAUAACGGGGAGAUGGGCACCAUGCCCGUCGACGAUUUCAUCAGCAAAAUCCAAUCGGCCGUUGCUGACAAAUCUUCCCUGUAG